RNAcentral lists this ribosomal RNA (465 nucleotides) under uncultured bacterium. RNAcentral's name for it is "partial 16S ribosomal RNA". It matches the Rfam family "Bacterial small subunit ribosomal RNA", at positions 338 to 795 of the family's 1533-position model. The record is from RNAcentral.
CCUACGGGAGGCUGCAGUAGGGAAUCUUCCACAAUGGGCGAAAGCCUGAUGGAGCAACGCCGCGUGGGUGAAGAAGGUCUUCGGAUCGUAAAACCCUGUUGUUAGAGAAGAAAGUGCGUGAGAGUAACUGUUCACGUUUCGACGGUAUCUAACCAGAAAGCCACGGCUAACUACGUGCAAGCAGCCGCGGUAAUACGUAGGUGGCAAGCGUUAUCCGGAUUUAUUGGGCGUAAAGGGAACGCAGGCGGGCUUUUAAGUCUGAUGUGAAAGCCUUCGGCUUAACCGGAGUAGUGCAUUGGAAACUGGGAGACUUGAGUGCAGAAGAGGAGAGUGGAACUCCAUGUGUAGCGGUGAAAUGCGUAGAUAUAUGGAAGAACACCAGUGGCGAAAGCGGCUCUCUGGUCUGUAACUGACGCUGAGGUUCGAAAGCGUGGGUAGCAAACAGGAGUAGAUACCCUGGUAGUC